This is a long non-coding RNA of Stegastes partitus (bicolor damselfish), 513 nucleotides long. RefSeq lists it as uncharacterized. NCBI's taxonomy places the organism in Eukaryota, Metazoa, Chordata, Actinopteri, Pomacentridae. The transcript has 5 exons. The record is from RefSeq and is a predicted model, not a curated record.
GCAACUAAAUAGAUCUCAAAUCUCACUUUCAGGCUUCCUGCGAACAGACGCCUCGCGGUCUGACAGGUGUUUCCAUCUGGAAAAAGCCCACAGAAGACCUGGUUUCUGCUCAAGAUGAUCCCAUAGGUCCCUGACUGACCCGGUUUCAUGCCUGGUGGAAGGAACUGAAGCAGAGAUGGGCAUUGCCAGGUCCCUGACUCGCCAUGUUAAUGUCUGGUGGAAGGAUCUGAAGCAGAGAUGUGCGUUACCAGGCUGACUGUCUCGGUGGUGAUGCUGUCCGGAGGUGGCGACCAAAGCUGGUCGACCGAACAAGGAGCCGCGCCGAGUUUGUCGUCCAUCGAUGCUGCCGGCAGGAUUUUCUUGAUUGAAAACCCAACAGACGGGCGGAAGACGACUUGAGCAAAAACGUUAAAUCAACAGCUUUGAUUGUGUCCCGUAGCACUUUACCACGUUAUGUAACCAAAGUGAAGCUCAACUGUUUAAAAAGAAAUAAAGGACGAAUGUUGCAAAUCA